RNAcentral lists this transfer RNA (90 nucleotides) under Steroidobacter agaridevorans. Its description in RNAcentral is "tRNA-Trp". The record is from RNAcentral. Lineage: Bacteria; Pseudomonadati; Pseudomonadota; Gammaproteobacteria; Steroidobacterales; Steroidobacteraceae.
GUAGCCGGCGCAGCGUUCAGUGCGCUCACCUUUCCAACAGUCGACACAUAUAAUAAGUAUGCCCCGGCGUGCCGAAACGCCGCGGCUGCU